GUUUCUCUAAAUUACGCGUUCUCACCGUACGGUAAUAAUUGCUCACGCCUUUUUAGUUUCGGUUUGUUAGCGAUUUUAGUUAGCUUUACUUUCUCCGAGGAUGCUACGGCUGUUGCAUAAUCGAAAGUAAACAUUUCUAUGCCGUUUCCUUUCUCGUUACGUAGGAAAACUAUGAUUCCUUAAUUGAAAACUCACGACAAGAAGAGGUGGUCAUACGAGUUUACCCUAGAGACCCAAAAACAAGAAACAAAACAAAUUAUUUUACAAUAAAAAUAUAUACUUCUCUCCCUUUAAGCCAAUCCUGGCAAAGCUUGGGCAGGAUCAGCUAUGAAAAUAGGAGAGGAGUUUUGCACCUGUAUCCAGGCGCACAAUCAGAAGGAAGGGAAGUGCAUGCCGCGUGAAUUCUGCUGCCAAGUCUAUCCGUUAGACGCCGAAUGAAUAAUUCAUGCGAUAGAGGCCAGGGGCUUGAAUCAUCGCCUCUCUAGCCGCAGCGAAUCCAGCCUCGGCCGAGGAUCCGCGCUAUGAUAAUUGCUCGUUAGCGGCGAUCCUGCAACCUCGGUCAGGCCCGAUAUUAAUCAGCAACGCUCGGCUGAUAAUGGAAUUAGAGCUAUGCUCCGGCGUUAGAUUAAAAAAAAAUCAUCCGUCCGGCGUGAUAAUUUCAAUUUCGUGCUCGGACGCGAUCGAACUAAUCGCGAUUCAUUUCCUAACUUAAUGGAAACGGUUAUUAAAAGAGAAUAGAGAUUCCUCUAGGGCAAAAUGGUUUCUUAUCAUGCAAGAUUUUGGAAUUGAGAUAUAAAACUUUAUUGGAAUUAUUCAUGGAA
Ceratina calcarata is the source of this 821-nucleotide long non-coding RNA. RefSeq lists it as uncharacterized. Lineage: Eukaryota; Metazoa; Arthropoda; Insecta; Hymenoptera; Apidae. The transcript has 3 exons. The record is from RefSeq and is a predicted model, not a curated record.